RNAcentral lists this long non-coding RNA (6833 nucleotides) under Populus trichocarpa (black cottonwood). RNAcentral describes it as "long non-coding RNA (PTRI_LNC002980)". Lineage: Eukaryota; Viridiplantae; Streptophyta; Magnoliopsida; Malpighiales; Salicaceae. The record is from RNAcentral.
UCUUCCUCUUUGCCAAUUCUAAAUGCAAGAGGUACUUCCACAACAGGCUGAAGCCCUCAAAGCUAACCUGGACAGCUAUGUACAGGAAGCAGCAUAAAAAGGUGACUUUUUUUGUUAGUUUCUAUCUACUUUUUAAUGACGAAUGCAUAAUGCUUCUAUUUGCAAGACUGCUUCUUCAGAUAGAAAAUCAUGAUGCGGUAUAUGUUGGUUUUGACACUGCUUUCCUAAUAAUCACAGGACAUUGCUGCAGAAACUAUUAAGAAGAGGCGUCGCGCCACGAAAAAACCUUACUCAAGGUCCAUUGUAGGGGCUACUUUGGAGGUCAUACAGAAGAAGCGAACUGAGAAACCUGAAGUUCGUGAUGCUGCAAGGGAGGCUGCACUCCGGUAUGUAAUUCUUUGUUGGUUUUUCCAAUGUGCUUCGAUCGUUGAGUCACUGGUGACACUUGUUGAUAUACUUGUUUGUUCAAUGCAUGAUGUUUUGUGCAGUGAAAUUAAGGAGAGGAUUAAGAAAACAAAGGAUGAGAAGAGAGCCAAGAAGGCUGAGGUAACAGCCAAGGUACAAAAGAGCAGCAAAGGUAGCGUGCCAAAGGGUGCUGCACCAAAGGGCCCCAAGCUUGGCGGGGGUGGAGGAAAGCGGUGAAAUCCUUCCUUCUUUGUUGUCCUAUUAACUCGUUAAAGAAUUUUGUAUUGGAUAUUUUACAUGGAUCAAGGUCUGUUGUUGCCAUUUUGUUCUUUAAGAGUUAACCUACUCUUUUCUCUUUCAGCGUUAAUUAUCCAUGGUUUGAAAGUUGUUGAAUUUUAUUAUUAUGGAUUGCACGCACUGCCAAUGCUGGGGAUUGUUGUGUGUUCAUAGGUUCUUUUGCCGAACUGCAGCUCCUAUAUCAUGAUAAGAAUCGAAAACAUCGCUUCAUUGGUUUCCGUUUUGAUAAGUUCCUAUAGUAUGCAUGUUGGUCCUGCUAGGAUUAAACUGAACACCCAUCUUUGCAAGGCAUGUGGCCUUCGAUUGAUGAUUCUUGACUAUUAAGAGAUAGUCUUUGCCUUGACUGAUACGGCACUGAAAUCUGAAUUUGCUGCCUGGGAAACAUUGUAAAAUGCUUGAAGAUUCGAUUUUUGUCAUGUCUUCAGGCGUCAGCUGUCAAGCAACGUUUAUUACUUUUAUUUGAAUGUGUUAAAAUAAUAUAUAUAUAUAUAUAUAUAUAUAUAUAUAUAUAUAUAUAUAUAUAUAUAUUAAUAUUAAUAUAUUAAAAUUAUUAAAAAAUAAUCAAUUUUAUAUUUUGAUAAAAUGUAUUUUGAAAACACAUCUAAAAACAAAAGUUAAAGUUAAUGGGUUUUACUCGGUGUUGGUGGCCUGAAUAAAACUAGGAACUAUGUUAUAAAAAAAAAUUAUGAAUUUUGGAAUUGAAGUUUCAGAAACAAUAAAUAUGGCAAUAAAAAAAAUAGUUGUGAAGUUUGAUGAAUGAUGCACCUGAGAUUUAAGAAGAUGUUCUUUUAUAUAUAUAUAAAAAAAGUAAAAAUCUUGGGAGCAUAGAACCAUGAAUAUUUAGAGAGAGAGAGAGAGAGAGAGAGAAGUGAAGAAGAAACAAACAAAAAGAUGUACUGAUUCUUUAGAAAAGCGUGGCUGCCAAAUGUGAUGAUUCUUUUUUAUUUUAAAUCCUACUUUUUACUUUUAUUUUUAAAGGUGAAUAAAAAGAAUAUAGACAAAUAUAUCAACAUACAUACAAAAAAAAAAAAAAAAAACAUAUAUUUUUACUAGUUACUUGCUGUGUUGGUACUUGCACUCUACGCAAGCCCCUAGUUAAAUGGCCUCGUUUGGGUCUUGUUGGUUUGUCCAGUAAUAAUGUUAUAAAAAUCCAAUUAUUCUGGCAAUAAAACAUGAUAGCUUAUACUUGAUCUUGGUUCGUUAAAACUGCUAUUGGUUGGUUAAAACUGCUAGUAGCUAUUACUUGUAAAAUAUAUUUUUUUUUUAUAGAAGUGAGGACUCUAUAAUACUUAAAUAGAUAUCUUUUUAGAAAGAAAAAAUACAAGAAUAUUAUAUAGAAAGAUACUCUGAAAAUAUAAAUAUAGUCAAAAAUUGAAAAUUAUGAACCUUUUGUCAUGAAACUCUCAUGGUGUAUUUAUAAGCCAUAAAAAAAAGGGCUUGCAGCCUGAUAGUAUUGAAUGAUAGAUAAAUAUUCUUUACCUAAUAAGAAUAUUGUGGGUCAUUGAAGGAUUUUUAUACACCUAAAAAAGUGUAGGGAGAUUAGAGUUUAAGACGUCAAGUGUAGCUAAGCUUAUAGAGACUGAGUUCUAUCCCUUGGGGAUAGACCCAAGGGAGGUUGGUUACUCUCCUGGACAUGUCAAAGGAGGACGAUCAUUCCCCUACAUAUGCCAAAGAAGGAUGAUUAUUAUCUUGGACCUGACUGACUGCUAAGUUCAAGCGUAUUAGGUCUGACAUGCGUGCCAGACUCAUGUUAUAUUAGACUUUGUGCAUUGUCAAGUCCAAGCGCUUUGAGUCUGAUAUGUACGCAAAAUUCAUAUGUUUUAAAGAACCACAUAAAAAUAAAUAAAUAAAAACUUAAUAAAAUUGACUCAUCACCUAGGCAUGCACAUUUUGACAAUGCUAGUUUCACUUUACAUUGUUAUGUAGGCUUUCUAUAAAAUCAGGCCAUAUUCUUCUCGUAAGCUUGUCAAUUUCACAAGAUACGACCACCGUGUUAGAUAAUAAUAUAAAUUAUAUCUUGGAAUCUCACUUAAAAGCUUAAGUUAUUGGAUUUGAUUAAUUCUUUUGACAUGAUAUCAGAGUCUUGUUGACCAAAUAAUCACGAGUUCGAAUCUGAUUACCAUCCUCAUUUAUUUGAUAAAAAUCAAGCACAAGGUAGCAUGGACCUGUGCAAGUUUCAAGUUUAAAGAGCUUUCACUUGAAGGGAGGUGUUAAAGAAUAAUAUAAAUUAUAUCUUGGAACCUCAUCUAAAAAUUUAAACUUUUAAAUUGAGAUGCUUCUUUUGAUACACCAAUUUUAAACAAAGGAGAUAGGAAUCCUACUUUUGAUCCCUGCAAGCUUCCACACUUUGUUCUUCCUUUUCUUUCCCUUCUUAUUUUUAUUCCUUUUCCUCCUCCUCAAUUCAACUGCUGAAGGAACCAUUAAAGGCAGAAUUCUUGAUUCUCCAGCUCAAAAGUAAAGGGAAAAAAUAAAAAGAAAGAAAGAAAGAAAGGGUUAGCAGCAUUGAUAGAUCAUUCCAAAAUGAUCAUCAACUGGUUGGCACGACUUCCCUGGCUAAUUUUUUUUUUUUUUUGAUUUACAUGGGGUGUCCGGGCCAGCUUACGCGCACCACGACUAUUCCCCACGGCCCGCUGGACAUCCUGCAAGCCCAGGAGCAGAGUUUGCUUAGCUAGGUUGUGAGUAUUCUAUUCCAUCUCUACCAUAUCAGUUUAGCAGAGUUUGCUUGCUGCAAGCCACAAUAUGAAAAAGAAAGAAGAAUAUCUUUAUAAUUUAAUAGAUUUUCUUCGUCAUAAAUGAGGUCAAGACUCAAAGCAACUUAAAUUUCAUGCAUCUCAUGCGAUGUAAAACAAUUUCAAUUACAUCAGAAAGUAAUAAGUUAAAAAAUAUUUUCAAAUGAGUUAUCAAGAACAUGAAGGUCCAGGUGAAAAACAUGUCCAAUAUCAGUCAACAAAUCGUUUUUUUCCCCUCAUACUUUGAUAGCUAAAACUUGAAAAAAAAGGGUGAAAACUUCUUACCAUCUCAUCAUUACUUGCAUUAGCUGCAAGCAAUGAAGCAUUGGCCCAUUUACAAGUGAUUGGGGCUCAUGCCUUUCGAAGUCGAAAUCACCCAAAAGAAAUGGCUCAAACAGUUGGAUUUCUCAAAGGAAGGGGUAUUUUGUUAAUCGGAAACGAAGCCUUUCGAAAUCUCAAGUUUGAUUUUGAAUGGUCAUUUUCAAUCCUUUUCUUCCAAUUCCAAGAAAAGCGAAAUCCUGAAAAAGUUUAUGAUGUUUAACCUUCUCGAUCGGUUCACGAACGUGUAGAGGAGAGGGCCAGUACACGGCUGGGGAUUUGCUGCAUUCCACCAUAACUUCACGAGCAAAUGAAUUGGUUUUGUCGUCGAGAGCUGCACCUGCGCACUCGAUGCUUUUCUCCUGGAGAUGAAGACCGCGCGCACUCCCUAUUGCCGAAGAGUCCCAAGAGCGUACCAUAAAGAUCUAGUUUCUUGUUUUGUUCCUUCUCUUAAGAAAUAUAUUGAGCGUCUCCCUCCACUUGCUUGCUACUCUUGUAACAAAGAUCGUAGCUAGCUAGGGCUUAUCAUUACCUCAAAACAUGUAGCUCGUCUGUAUAUAUACACCAACCUAUUCAAUUCUUGAGCCAACUCCCCACUUUGUGAGCGAGCUUAGAAAGCAUACUGGGGUAGGGCGCGAUUUCUAUCUCUUACUUUCAUAAAGAAGACAGCUUUCGCGGUAGGAUGUAAAUAUUACUUUUUAAAGUUUUUUUUUAUUAUUAUUUAAAAUUGUAUUAAAAUAAUAUAUUAUUUUAUUUUUUAAAAUUUAUUUUUAAUGUAGUACAUCCAAAUAAUCUGAAAACUAAAAAAAUAUUAUUUAAAAAAAAUUUAAAAUUUUUUAAAAAUAAUUUUUUAAAACAAAAACAAACAUACUCUUAAUAUAAUUGUAAAACCUGACUUGAGAGUCGAUUUAGAACAAUACCUAAAUUACAGAUCGGGAGAAUUGAUCUCAUAAAAUUUUAAAAAUAAUUAAAAUAACACUAUUUUAAUUAAAAAAAUUUAAUAAUUUAAGAAUUGGGUUUUAAUCGAGUUAACAAAUAAACCUCGAUCUUUUAUCGGAUUAGCUGAAAUUUUUUUUUUUCUUUAAUUUGAACAAGUUCAAAUUACUCUAGUUUUAGGUGGAUCUGCUGUUCCAGUUCUGUUUUUACAGCUAUGCUCCUGAAUAAUAAUAAUAAUAAAUGAAUAAAAAAGUAGACUUAUUUAUGGAUGAAUUUGUGAAAUAUCAAAUUAGAGGGGGGCAAUUAAAUCUCAAGCCUAUGAACAAUGUAAAUUACAAUGGCCCACGAACAUAAGAACCAGGCCCUCAAAGUUGCAGUCUGGCCUUUUAUUGGCCCAUUAGGAAAAAAAAUAUAUCUUCAAAAACUACACCCUAGUCUAGUCUUCCUUCUUCCCUGCCAAAAAAAUCAGUAGCUGCUGCCGCCAUGGUUCUCAAGUACGUCCCUUUCUCUCCAUUGUUCUUCCAUUUAGCAUCAAUGGAAAAUGAGUUUUUAUUUUUCUGCAUUUUUCUUUUUAUGGGUUUUUUUCUUUUCAAGUGUUUAAGUGUCCUGAAUUGUUGGAUUGAAUUUGAGCCAUCUUGGUUUUGCUUACAAAUAUAUGACAUUUUGAACUUGUGAGCUACAAAUUUAGCAUUAGAGCCACUAUUUUAUGUUAUAGUACAAGGAAAAGGAGGCGAGCUUGAUUAAUUUUAUGAAACUUCAAAAAUGCAGUCUCUAUGAAAGUUUUAAGCUUUUUGGUGAUGGGUAGAGUAUACAUUUUUGAAGAGUAGAAGGAUUUCUGGCAUGGAUUUCAAGUGAAUGUUUUUAUUGUUUAUAUGUUAGUAAGGUAGUUGGAAAUACUGAUAUGACAUUAUGAGUUGAAUUGCCAUAUAAUUGUGAUCAAUAGAAACCAGACUAAGACUAAGAUGUUUGUUAUGUAGCCCGAGUGUUCAGCUCCUUGGAACAGCAUCGAGUUAGGAUUUAUGUUUGAGUGUCUUGAGCGUGAUUAGUGUAUGGCAGGAAGGGAAUUCAGCAAUAACAUAGAGAAGGCGGCAAGAAAAUGGCCAAAAUCUGAAUAAAAUUGAAGUUGGGAUGAGAGAUUAAGGUUUAGUGAUGCACGAUGCACUUGAAAGGGUCUUCUAGUUGGAAUGUUAUACUUGGGUUUCUUAUUGUUUGAUUUUAAGAAUGUGCAACACCUUGAUGUUACCAAGAAUAUAUGACUUGUUAGUCAUUGAACUGGCAGUCAAGAGUAAUAGGUAGUUUUUGGGGAUAUGCAGAGGGGUUUGAGGAUUUGAUGGAUUUCUGAGAUUUGCAUAAUCAUGCAAAUGAAGUCAUUGAUGUUUUAGAUAUGCAAUCAUGAUAAAUAUUAAGCAUGCGUUCUCUGGAAUGGAGCACUUUUAUUGACCUGACAAUAGAUUUUCUUUGUAAUAAUACUGAUGGUUUCUUCCCGGAUGACCAGGACUGAACUCUGCCGCUUCAGUGGGGCGAAGAUCUAUCCUGGCAAGGGUAUCAGAUUUAUUCGCUCAGAUUCCCAGGUAAGAUGCAGUUUGGUAUUGAAGGCAUCGCAUCUUCUUUCUAUUUUCCAUCACCUUCCAGUACAGGCUGUGAAACUAAGUACUCUUUCUUUAAUCAAUUAAGGUCUUCCUCUUUGCCAAUUCUAAAUGCAAGAGGUACUUCCACAACAGGCUGAAGCCCUCAAAGCUAACCUGGACAGCUAUGUACAGGAAGCAGCAUAAAAAGGUGACCUUUUUUGUUAGUUUCUAUCAACUUUUUAAUGACGAAUGCAUAAUGCUUCUAUUUGCAAGACUGCUUUCUUCAGAUAGAAAAUCAUGAUGCGGUAUAUGUUGGUUUUGACACUGCUUUCCUAAUAAUCACAGGACAUUGCUGCAGAAACUAUUAAGAAGAGGCGUCGCGCCACGAAAAAACCUUACUCAAGGUCCAUUGUAGGUGCUACUUUGGAGGUCAUACAGAAGAAGCGAACUGAGAAACCUGAAGUUCGUGAUGCUGCAAGGGAGGCUGCACUCCGGUAUGUAAUUCUUUGUUGGUUUUUCCAAUGUGCUUCGAUCGUUGAGUCACUGGUGACACUUGUUGAUAUACUUGUUUGUUCAAUGC